RNAcentral lists this ribosomal RNA (253 nucleotides) under uncultured bacterium. RNAcentral's name for it is "partial 16S ribosomal RNA". It matches the Rfam family "Bacterial small subunit ribosomal RNA", at positions 524 to 776 of the family's 1533-position model. The record is from RNAcentral.
UACGUAGGGUGCGAGCGUUAAUCGGAAUUACUGGGCGUAAAGCGUGCGCAGGCGGUUUGUUAAGACAGAUGUGAAAUCCCCGGGCUUAACCUGGGAACUGCAUUUGUGACUGGCAAGCUAGAGUAUGGCAGAGGGGGGUAGAAUUCCACGUGUAGCAGUGAAAUGCGUAGAUAUGUGGAGGAACACCGAUGGCGAAGGCAGCCCCCUGGGUCAAGAUUGACGCUCAUGCACGAAAGCGUGGGGAGCAAACAGG